UCCUUGUUUGUGUUUCAUUGUCCCAUCAUGCUUCUCCUGUGAUUGAUUUAUAAGAAGUGUUUGAUCAGAUUGAAAAUUAGCAUAUGAGAUUAUGAAUGUGAGAAACCUACUUGUAUAAUUCUUUAAGUUGCUACUUUUGUGAAAAAUUCAAUUUUUUUUUUAUUUUGGUUUCUAUCAUUUUGUUCUGAUUUCGGUUUGGAGAAAGCUUUUAUAUGGUGUUGGUAAAUUCAGUUUCUGAGUCUGAAGCACUUCAAAUUCAAUAAGAAAUUGAUAAAUUAGAUAGAAACCCCAGUUGUUUGGUUGUGAGGAAGAAAUUUUUGUUUUCAGUACCUGAUGAUGUGAAAACUGUUGUUUGGUUUUACUUUGGGAACUACUCUUCUAAGGCCCUGUUCGUUUGCUCACCCAGGUGAUCCAUCUGGGUGAAGAUGCAAAUUGAUGUUCGUUUAAUGCAUUAUAAAGCUACAUCCAGAUGGAUCACCCAACUGAAUUUUUAGAAACUCAUCUCAAAUUCACACCCAAAUGAAGGUGAGUCUUGAUGGUGCAUCUGGAUGCAGAUGCAUCUAGUUCAGUCCAAAAUAAUAAAUGGCAAAAAUGACUUUUUAAAAUAAAAAUAUUAUUUUCAAACCGUAAAUUCUAUUUUUUUGCAUAUACAUUUUUCCGCUAUAACCAAAAAAUGCAUUUUCUCGCAAAAACGUAAAAACACACUUUCCCGCCAAAACCGCAAGAUGCAUUUUUCGCAAAAAAAACACAAAACACACAUUUUCAUUAAAACACAUUUUUCGGCUAAACCAGUAAAACCACACUUUUCGACCAAAACCCAAAAAACGCAUAUUCCCGCCAAAACUCCAAAAGCAUUUUCCCGCCAAAACUCCAAAAGCAUUUUCCGGCCAAAACCGCAAAAAGCAUUUUCCUGUUGGCCGGAAACAACGCAUUUUCUCGCCAAAACAAAAAAAAAACGCAUUUUUCGCCAAAACAGAAAAACACAAUUUUCUCGCCAAAACCGGAAAACAUAAUAUUCCCGCCAAAACUGGAAAACGGAAUUUUCCCGCCAAAACCAGAAAACGAAAUUUUCCCACCAAAACCGGAAAACGCAUUUUCCCGCCAAAACCAGAAAACUGUAUUUUCCCGCUAAAAUCGGAAAACGUAUUUUCCCGCUAAAACCGGAAAACGUAUUUUCCCGCCAAAACCGGAAAAAAGUAUUUUCCCGCCAAAACCGGAAAAAUGUAUUUUCCCGCCAAAACCGGAAAAUGUAUUUUCCCACCAAAACCGGAAAAUGAAAUUUUCCCGCCAAAACCAGAAAAAUGCAUUUUCCCGCCAAAACCAGAAAAAUGCAUUUUCCUGCCAAAACUGGAAAAAUGUAUUUUCCCGCCAAAACCGGAAAAAUGUAUAUUUUUUUUUCCGCGAAAACCGGAAAAAUGUAUUUUCCCGCCAAAACCGAAAAAAAACUUAUUUUCCCGCCAAAAUCGGAAAACACAUUUUCCCGCCAAAACCGGAAAAAGCAUUUUCCCGCCAAAACCGGAAAAGCACAUUUUCCCGCCAAAACCAGAAAAAUGUAUUUCCCGCUAAAACCGGAAAAAAUGUAUUUUCCCGCUAAAACGCGAAAAAUAACUUUUACCGCCAAGUGAAAAAAAACUUUUCCCGUCAAAAAAACACUUUUCCCGCCAAAACUUCAAAACACACUUUUUCCGUCCAAACCGCAAAAACGUAUUUUUCCACCCAGCCCAUAAAACGUAUUUUUUCCGUCAAAACCAUAAAAUGCACUUUUUCGCGAAAAACACAUAUUUCCUCAAAAACCGCAAAAAUAUUUUCGGCCAAAACCGUAAAAAUGCUAUUUUUCCGCCGAAACGUAAAAAAUUAUAUUUUAGUCAUCUUAUUAACAAGUUCACCUGGAUGCAGAUGGAAAUUAAAAAAUGACAAGCAAACGAACAUAGUUGCAUUCAGAUGAUUUAUCUGGAUGCAUGGACGAAAUGAAGAAACGAACAACACCCAGAUGGAGCAUCUGGAUAAGACAUCUAGAUAGACCAUCUGGAUGCACCUUCGAGAUGUACAAACGAACAGGGCCUAAGUCUUUUUGUUUGGUGUGUUUUUAGGGAGCAAAGAACAAAAUGGGAGAAAGGCAAAAACUAGUUUUGAGAAAUGAAAGCUAGAGCUUUGCUGUUUUCAACAAUUCGCACGUUAUGUUUAUGUAAUCGUAUUCAUUUGUUUCUUUCUCUUUUUUUUUUCUUUCAUUUUGUUCACGACUGAAAAACUGGACUCAUCUUGAAUGUAGAUCAAACUAAUUUAGAAACUUGUGGCGGAGGAUUUCAUUGAGUCGCCACUUUAAUAAUCUCAAACAUAUUUAUAAAGAAAUAAAAUCAAACAGGUUCGAUGGAUACAAAAAAAAAGUUAUAGCCGGCGGUUUAAAGGUUAGAUGCACUGCAUCAAGUCUCCCCGGGUAGGAGAAGAUUCUUCCCUGAAUCUGGAACCUCAUUGUCACCACGGAACAAAGACAUGCACUUAACACUGAAGACAUUGGAUGUAUUGAUACGAGGGGGAAGUUGUACCCGACACGCAUUGGCAUUUAUGCGUUCCAAAACCUACACAUGACCUAUCUUUCGCAAUAUGAGCUUAUUAUACUCAUGUGAAGGAAUUCUAUCCUUCGUCAUUACGACUCAAACCUGAUCACCAGGCUGAAAGUGUAACUCACAUUUGCGCUUGUGUGCUCAUUCCUUAUAGGCGAGGGCCGUAGUCUCCAAGUUCCGACCAACCAAUUUAUGCACCUCCUGGAGCGAGGUGACAAAGUCAGUAGUACCUACAUGAAGACGAGUUAAGUCUUGUCUUUACUAUGAUUUCCGAUUUGAUCAACGAGCAGAGCCUGGAUGUGAUUCGUUUUCCCAAAUACUAAUUUUCGGAUCUAACGAAUUGUAGAUUGUUUUUACUAUGCUUUUAGAGUUUUUUUCUUUUUCUAUUUAACUUAUAAUAAUUAACUUUAUUAAAGUAAUAAAGCACAAUGAGACGCAAAUGUAGUCCUACCAUAUAAUUAUGCGUUAAGCCAUUUUAAACACUAAAUAUAGAAUGCGUAUCGUUCAUACUCAGCGAACUAAACCAAAGUUGAUCCCACAUGCAAUUAUGUUCAUUGCAGUCCUUGCAAGCAAACCUUUUGUGUAUAAUUAAUUUAUUCUACUUAAGAAAAGAGUUUGAAGAAAAGAUGAUGAUGGCAUGCAAAUGGUACAGUGUGGGAACAAAAUGCGACACUCAUUAUCAACCAAACUCGUCGACCCUUCAAAGAAAAUAAAAAGAGAAUAUAUUUUUAUUAGAAGAAAAAAUCAUUUUAUUUCAGCUUCUCUUAUUUCUGGUGGUCGUGAAAAGGAUGAGUCUUCCACCUACUCCAAUCUGCGAUUUUCAUCCUUCAAAUCUUAUCCACAUGCAAUCCUUAAUCUGGUCAUUUUCAUCUAGUUUUAUGGCAAUCAAUUUAACAAAUAUCUUUUAUUGUUAUCUUUUAUUUAUUAUUAGAAAACGAAUAUAUAUACAUAUAUAUUAUUGUAAUCAUUUUCAUCUGCGUAGCUUAUUGGUAACUUGUUUUCCAAAACUCCUUUUUCCACUGCUCGUCUCUCCACUUGGACUAUGCGUGUUUUACUUGAGGAUGCAUGGUGCAUCUAGAUAAGGAUUAUGAAAUUUACGAUUUAAUAAAAGUUGGUUCCAGACUUAGAAAUACUAACUUACAAAGGUAUUCUACAAAUGUGGUUUGCUCAACUAGUUAGAGGGGUCUUAAAGUUCACCGAAUCCGAUUAUUAUUAGAAGCUGGUCUUUGGUCCAUACAGUACAUAUUAAAGGUCCAGAAUUUCUUGCUUACAUAAAAAAACUAACAAAUGUAUCAUAAAUCUGAUUUAAAAAGUUUUAAGUGUACUACAAUCUUGGAAUUCCUUUUAUUUGAUAGUGAAAAGAUCAAGUUAUAGUCUGAUGCUAGUAAUUAUAUAAGUAUGCUAUAUUUAGCAUUAUACAUUUAUAAUCUUGAAGUUCAUGUCCUAAUCCAUAGGUUUAGACUAUUUGAACCCUUAACGCUGACUAAUAUAUUUACAUUUUAUAAGACAUAAAUAUAGGGAUAUUAUAUUUCAUAUUCUUAUCUGAAGAGAUAACCUUUCUUGAAGGUUGAUAUUCUUUUCUUAGUCUACAUCCAUAUGUAAUGAUUAAGAUGCCCUUUUCUACAAGUUCACUCCAAAACUAGAUAAUUGUUGGGGGAAAAACGACAAAUGAAAACGUGUUUAGUAACUUUGCUUACAAUUAAACCAUAUGUGUUCGUAUGUGACGGCCACAUGAUUUAUGGUCUUCCGUACUUAUGUGUCCCUCUCAGCCUUUGCUUAUUGAUAUCUCCCUCUACAUUAAGCUAAAUCGGGUUGUAAAAUUUUGACCAAAUUAAGUCAGUCUCUACAUAUUCUGAAAUAAACCGAAAUAACUAAUAAGGAUGGUUGCAUAUUCUCAUUGUUUAGGUUCUGAACGGCUUUGACAGUUGUGAGUCUUAAAACCCACACUAGAUAUUUUAGAAUAUUAUUUGUAAAUUAGAGAACAAGAUCUUUUGGGUAAUAUUAUCCUUAGAAUAAAAUAGAUUUGUAUAAUGAUAUUAACGAGUUUACAAGUGUUUUUGAAUAAAAAUAAGACUAGUCGUCUAGUCUAAUGAAGAACAAGAUCUAAAACAAGUUCGAAGCGUUGAGGGAACUAGAGCUCGAGGUAAAGGUGAUUAUGUGUGUAUGCGGGAAUCAAUAUGUCUGUGUCCCCCUCUUUUCCGUUCUCCUCCCCUUAUUAUACACUAUUUAUAAUCGUUAGCCUCCUCCGAUAUCUUCUCCCUUUUCUUGUUGCUCGAUUCUUAAUUUCGAAACUGCAUCCAUCCUCGUUAGCACAUAUAUAGGUACUGUUGAAACAAAAUUGAGCUGAUUCUAUGUCCCAGUCUAGCCGACAUCGAGCUUCCAAAAGCAUAUAAAUGAUCCUGACCUCCUUACCUGUGGCCGACUCAAAAUCCAACUCCACGAAUAUUGCAACUUGCCUAGGAAGUUCGUUGGUUCGAUUUCGCGGAGUAAAGCCGUGAUUCGUUAUUCCUCUAUGCGACCUCACUUGUCAUAGAGGUCAACUCAGAACGUUGUGUUUCUGGGGAUACACUAAUGUAAAAUUUGUGCCAAAAUAAAGCAUUAUAGGUUUUGCAUCAAAUUGGAUAACUAAUCUUAGAGUUGAUUCUUACUUUUUGGUGAAAGAGAGUUGAUUCUGUUUUUUUUUCUAAUGUGAUGACCCGAAAUAAAAAAUGAUAAGAUAUUUUAUUUUGCAUAUUCAUAAGCAAACAUAUAAAACUUCAUCUUUGGUAUAUAAAAUACAAACUAUUUAGCCAUUAAAUACGAAGUUUACAAUCAAUCUUACAAAUGUUUAAAAUAUAUAACACUUCUUUAACAUUUAAUAAUGAAAAAUUCUUAAUCUAAAAUUAUAUUUUCUUACAUGAAUUCAAUUCAAAUUUUAUUUAUCAUCAUCUACUUAUCAUAUACUACUAUCUAUGUAUAAACUAUAUUAAUAGUUAAAAUCUAAUAUGUAUAUAUAGUAAAAUUAUCUUUAAUUUGGACAUAUUUUUUUUACCUUUUUAAAACAAGAUAUAUUUUAAAUUUAAGAAUUAAAAUUUUCUGUAUCUAUGUAUAAAUUAUUGUUUUAGACUAUUGUAAAUGAUGCUAAAAUAAAAAGAAUUAUUAACAGCUUGCUAGAUACAUUAUACAUGUUCAAUACAUUGGUAUUUAUUUAUACACAAAAAGAUUCCGAUUUUAUAUAGGAAAUAAUCUCUGAGAUUACUGUUUACAUAUUUAAUGUUAUCAAAAUAUUUUGUUUUUUGUAAACUAUGUUAUCACAAUAUAUUCACCAUUCAAUAUAUGAAGCAAGAACAUUGCCAGUAGAAUACGAUAUGGGAUGGGAUGAAGAACAGACAAAUAGCUUGGUUUGACAAAUACAUUCGAAACUGUUUGAUUUAUUCAUAUAUUCAUUAACUUGGUAUUUAAUUAUUUACUAGGUGGAUGUCCACGAUUUCACGGAUUAAAUGUUUUUUAAUAAUAUAUUUAUUAUAACUUUCAAAUUAAAAUAUGUUUUUAUCAUUAUGUAUUUUCUUAUUAAAUAUUUUUCUAAGAAUAAAUUUUUUUUGAAAAAGAUAAUAUGACUAUUUUAAAUAUUUUUUGAUAUUUUGUUUUGAUAAUUUUACUAAAAUUAGUUAUAUACAAUAUUCAAGAUUCAGUUUUUAAUAAAACUAUUUAGGUUUUGAAGGUAUAUAAUGUUGAAAAUUUUGAUUUUAAAUAAUUUAUAGCUAAAGUUUUAUGUCUUUAAUAAGCUUAAAAAGUUAAAACAAUAUAAUUGUAACAGAUUCUCUACAUAUACAUAUCCAAUCACAUAUGCUAUAUCAAUUCCAUAAAUUAUUUUUGAAAUAUUUUAUAUAGUUUAUAAAUACAAAUAUAAGGCUUUAUAUAAGAAUAUAAAAUUAUUCUAUCAAUUUUAAUAAACUUUUUUUUAUUAUAUUAUGUAGUUUAUAAAUAUAAAAAUCGAUCAAACAUCAUUACUUUUUCUAUAGUUUUAACAAUUAGUUACCAUAAAUAAUUAUUUGUAAUAUUAUGUAAAUUAUUUGGUAAGUGAUAUUGAUUGUUUAUAGAUUUUUUUUGUCUUUUUAAAUCUAAUUAAAAUAAAUAUAAAUUAAAAAUUAUCGACCAUUCAAUUUAUAACUUUUUUAAAGAUUUCAUCAAUGAUCGACAAAUAAGAAAAAAUCUCUUAAAUAAUUUUUCAAUUAAUAUAUAGUAGGAUAGUAGGAUAAAAUUAUAAAAUAGAUUGUAUAGAUGACUAAUAUAUAGUCUCUAUUAGUAUAAAUGUUUAUAAUAAUUUAAAUAUAUAAUAAGCCAAGAUAAAUAAUUUUAUAAUUUUUUUUGUAAUUUUAUAAAACAUAUUAUGUGAACUUUAUAAGACGUUAAUAAUUAUUAUAACAGUUUAUAUAAAAUAUAAUGUUUUAAAUAAGAAUAUAAAAUCAUUAUAUUAAUUUAUAUAAACUGUUUGUUGUUUAUUAUUUUAUGUAUUUUAUAAAUAUAAAAAAUUAAUCAACAUUAUUAUUCUUUCUAUAAUUUUAAUAAUUAUUUACCAUAAAUAAUAUUAUGUAGAUUAUUUGGCAAAUGAUAUUAAUUGGUUACAAACUUACUUUUUUAGAACUAAUUAAAAUAAAUAAAAAUUAAAAAUCUUCGACCAAUCAAAUUAUAACAAUUUUGUAAGAGUUCACUUAUGAUUGAACGUCAGCAAAAAAUUAAUAAAAUAAUUUCUCAAUUAAUAUAUUUGUAUAUUCAUUAACUUGGUAUUUAAUUAUUUAUACACAAAACAAGGUGUCGUUGAUAGUUUGGAAGAUAGUUAAAAAUAACAGUAUUUAUUAUAAUAUCUCGCGUUUAAUCACUAUCCACCUUAAUCUUAAUUACACACUCACCCUUUGAUCCUGAUUUUUCGAUAGACGUUAAAGCCAAAAAAAAAGUAACGAGAAAGAAAGAGCCACGAGGGCACAAGGCCUUGACGCCAAAAAAAUAAAUAAACAGUUUUAUUUUAUAAUCACGAGCGUGUUUCUGUGUAUAAAUGUAACACACAUCUUCUUCUUUCCUCCUUCUCUGCCAUCUUUCUCUCCACUCCCAAGAUUAACAUUAACCAACAAAAGAAUCAAAUCCUCUCAUCUUCGCUCUCCUCCAACCAUCUUAUCAUUUCAGAUGACGCAUCUCAACAAAAAACCCAGGUUAGAGAAGAACCUCACGGUUAACGUCAACCACAUCGACGACUUACCUGACGAUCUCGUCUUCUCUAUCCUCCGCAAACUCAGUUCCUCCGCUUCUUGUCCCGCCGAUUUCUUCAACGUUCUCAUCACGUAAGUCAGUCAGGCUUCUUUUCCUUAAACCACCCGAUUCUUUAUUUUGACGAACUCUCUUUCGCCGUUUCAGAUGCAAGAGACUGAACCGGUUGGGUUUGCAUCCUCUGGUUUUAUCCAGAGCCGGAACUCAAACCCUAGCCGUCACGGCGGAGAAAUGGUCUGACUCCGCCCACAGAUUCCUCAAACUCUGUGUUAAUGCCGGAAACAUCGACGCUUGCUACGUUCUCGGAAUGGUUCGUCUUCAAACCUCCUUCUCUCUCUCUCUGUGAUGUUGAUUUUUUUUUUUUUUGCGCAGAUCCGUUUUUACUGUCUUCAAAACCCAGUGAGCGGCGCUUCUUUAAUGGCUAGAGCCGCGAUUAAGUCUCACGCGCCGGCGCUUUACUCGCUGUCGGUGAUUCAGUUCAACGGGAGCGGCGGUACCAAAUCCGACAAGAAUCUACGCGCCGGAGUCGCUCUCUGCGCGCGUUCCGCUUACCUCGGCCACGUCGACGCGCUCAGAGAGCUCGGUCACUGCCUACAAGACGGUUACGGCGUUCCUCGCGACGUCGCCGAAGGACGUCGGCUUUUGAUUCAGGCGAACGCGAGGGAGCUCGCGGGCUCUCUACGCUCUUACCUCUCUCUCAAAUCGGGAGACGAAACGCUAACCGAACUCAACGGAUUACCGGUUCAGGAGAUUCGUCCAGUAAACCGGUUUUUGAAGGAUUGGUUUGAUUCGGGUCGGGUUGUUUUAGCCGAGGGGUUGAGGAUGUGUUCUCACGGCGGUUGCGGAAGGCCGGAGACUAGGUCGCAUGAGUUCCGGCGAUGUUCGGUCUGUGGGAAAGUGAACUACUGUUCGAGAGGGUGUCAGGCGUUAGAUUGGAGAGUGAAGCAUAAGAUGGAAUGUGCCCCGUUAGAUCUGUGGGUUGGGGCUGCGGCGAUCGGCGUCGGUGACGAGGACGUUGAUGCUGUGGAAGUUGAGAAUCAUGCUGCUCGAUAACUGCUCUGCCUCUUUUUUAGUUUUUAAAUGUUACAUCAGAAAAUGUCUAAUUUUGCCAGCAGUCUGUCUCUGUAACCUUUUGACUUUUUUUUUUUGGUUAUUGAUAAUCGAUCAAUUUUUCAUGUUUUUUUCUUCUUUAUCUUAACAUUUAUGAUUAUAAUUAACAAUUUAUUUUCAAACUAUAUAAAAAUAAAUUAGAUUCUCACCAUUAUAUUUUGUACAAAAUUUAAUUUUAUGAAAUAAAAAUAUUCGAUUUUGGCUUUUGUUUAUUUGUAAACCAAUUUAAUUUUUAUUUUUAUGAUAAAUUAACUCAAAAUUGUUUGGUUUCAAAAAUAUAAUAAAAUUGUCAUAAAUAACUCUAAAACAUGUUUUAUCCCCUAACUAAUAUACAAGGUUCAAAAUGACCAAUAUAAUAUUUACUAAAGGUAAAUAACAAUUAUAUCCAUUUAUUAAAAGAAAAAAAAUAUUUUUUAACAAAUUAAAACGUUUUGAAUUUUUUUUCAAAAUUUUCUUUCAUUUUGAAAGGCAAUUUUUAAUUAAAAAAAAGUUUCAGAAGACUUUCCUGAAAUGUGUGAUUUCCUUCUAAAUUUGAAUUAUAUUCAUAUUUAAGAAAACAUUAAUAAAUGUAUAUAAUAUCGUCCUAAAUUUUAGGAAAAUGUUGAUAAAUAUUUGUAAUUUUUCAUACAAUUUUGGAAAAAAUGUAUUUUUAAAAUACAUUUUAACUAUGUGUUAGGAAGGCUUUGAUGAAUAUAUAUUUAAUAAUAUCUUACUAAAUUUGAAUUAGAUAUAUUUAGUAAGAUAUUUUUGAAUAUGUAUAAAAUAUUCUUAAAGUUUUAGGAAAAUCUUCUUAAAUUUGUAUGAUAUCUUGGUGAAUUUAACUUAUAUGCCUAUUUAGGAAAGAUCACUGAAUAUAUAGCAUCUUUCUAAAAAAUUUGAUGAUAUUUUUAAAGAUGUAAUAUCUUUAUAAAAUAUAGAAAACAUUUGUAAUUGUUGUAUAUAUGAAUAUCAAGUUUGUAAGUAUAUACUUUAGAAAAACAUUUCUAGUAUUUCGAAAUGGCAUACACAUUUAAGAAGAUCUUCCUAAAUAUACAUACAAGUUACAUUCAAAACGUCUAAUUACACAUUUAUGAAUGCAUUACUGAAUUCAGAAUUCUUUUUUACAGAUUUAAGAAAAUAUUUUACAUGAAUGGUCCUCUUAAAAUUCUUAUAAGAAAAACCGUUUAAAAAAGUUAAAAAAAAUCUGAAUUUCUUUUGAAAACAAUAUUGACAAAAUUAAAAAAAACAUAUUUUUUGAUUUUUUGAUUUUAUUAUUUUUGAAUUUUUAGUAUUCAUUUAUUUUUCUAUAUUUAAUAAAGUAUUAAAUAAAUUUUUUAAUCAGAAUUAAAAAAAAAUUUUUUACCAUCAACAUAAAAAGACUCAUUCAAGACUUUGCUAAGCAAUCUGAAAACUUUGUGUACAUGUCAACAAAAUAGGAUGGUUGAGUCCAAUCACUUCGUGUAAUAUUGUCCGUCCUUGAAUUUGAGUCCGGGGUACGUAUAUGAUCACACGAACAUGCUGAAACUUUCAUUUUUCUGUUACAUUUCUUCCAAGUAAGUUGCAAAAGCAAAUCAUUCUUCUGAUUUAGAAACCAUCUUUACCAAAUGAGAAUAAUUUGUCGCAAAAGUCACUUGAAGUUGUCGGAGAGUUUCAUACAUUUCAUCCCUCAGAUUAUGGCCUCAAAUUCCGCAUGCAAAAGUGAUUUACUAGCUCUUGUAUCUCUCGUCCCUGUUAAACCUUCAAAUCUUUCAAGUGUACUAAACCAACCUUACCAGGAGCAUAAAGAUUAUCCUUCCAAGACUUAUCCAUAAAGCACCAUAUUCCUAAUCUUGGGGAGAUUUGUGUGGUAUCAGCCGUAUUGGAUGAUAAUUGUGUGUCCGUUUGUGGCAUUGUCACUUGUGAUUCAUUCCAUAGGAUUGCUUCUCUUUCUUCUAACUAUAAGAUACCACAGAUAUUCUGAAACUUUCCUUUAUUUGUGGUAUUUCUUUCAAGUAAGUUGCAAAAACAGAUCAUUUUUCUGAUUCCAAAACCAUAUUAGUCAAUUGAAAACGAUAUGUUGUACAAUUUACUUGAAAUUGUCGCAUAAUUUUUAUACAUUCCAUCAUUCACAUUAAGGCCUCAAAUUUCUCAUAAAAGGGUGAUUGACUACCUCUUGUAUUUUGUGCUCCCAUUAAACCUACAUAUCCAUCAAGUGUACUAAACAACCUUGCCCAGAGAAUAAAUAUUUAUCCUUCCAAAACUCACCCGUACAGCACCAUCAUCCUAGCCUCGAGAUUUCUUGAUGGCAAAUAUUACUCAUCCGUUUCUUCCCACUAGAGCACGAGCAAGGAGAUACUUAGCUAACUUUUGGUUUCCAAGACGAAGCCAAGAUUUGCUAAGGCAUUGGGCCUGGGAGUUUUGUUCCUUCAUGAUUUUUGUUAGAUUGCAACUCUGGACUUGUCGAUCAUGCGUUUGGCUAGCACCAAAUAUCUAGCCAUACUGCAUCUUUUGCCAGAUAUUCUCUCUGCAUUUGGUUAAUGAUUAGUUCCAAGUCAUUGUAUACCUGAAGGUUUUCUACUCCCAUUUUUCUAGUUAGGGUGAGUUCAACUUUUAAAGCCUCAUACUCGCUUUUGUUAUUGGUCGUUUUGAAGUUGCAUCAUAAUGGCUCUUGAUGUCGUGUCUCCUAUUGGGGAGAUGAGUAUGAUGCCUACUCAUGCCCCUCUCAUGUUUUUGGAUCCGUCUGGGUGGAGUUUCCAUUCCCCUACUUGAUUAUUAUCUUUAUGGAUGUUUGCCUCUUCCUCCACUGCAGGGAGAAUAGUCGAGGAGAAUUCAGCCAUGAAGUCGGCUAGUAUUUGCGACUUGAUGGUUGUGGCGGGUCUGAAUAUUAUGUUGUAUUCUCGAUUUGUACUGCCCAUUUGGACAAACGGCAUGAUACUUCUGGCUUGUGGAGUGUUGCUUUAAAGGGUAUAGAUGUUACCACGAAAACAAGAUGAACCCGAAAAUAGGGGUGUAGUUUCUUUGCUGCUACGACCAGGGAUAGAGGCAACUUUUCAAGGUGAUUGCAUCGUUUUCUGCAUCAAGGAAUGACUUGCACAUGACGUAGCACACCUAGUAUUGCCUAUUUUCUUUUUUUCGCACCAGGACGACACUCACUGCAUACUCUGAUAUCGCCAAAUAGGGCAACUAUAUUUCUUCAUUAUAAGGUUUUGAUAGCAGGGGAAGCGUAUUAAGGUACUCUUUUAACUUAGUGAAACCGUUUUCACACUUUUCAACCCAGUUGAAUUAUUUUGGCCUUUUGGGGGCUUUGAAGAAGAUGAAAGAUUUGCCUGAUAGUGGUGAGAUGAACCUACGUAGGGCUUCCAUUCUUGAUGUUAGUUUAUGAACCUAUUUUGGGCUCUUUGGUGAAGUGAUCACAUGGAUUUCUCUUAUUUGUUCUGAAUUAGCCUCGCUACUAUGAUGUGUAACUAUGUACCUUAGAAAUUUCCAGGAACUUACCCUGAAGGAGCAUUUGGACAGAUUGAACUUCAUAAUGUAUUUCAUCAACAUGGAGAAUGCUUGUUGUAGAUACAUGAUAUGCUCACAUUACCCCGAGAGCACUCUUUUAAAUAAGAAGUCAAUUGCAAUACUUGGGGAUUGAAUUCACAAGGAACGUGGAUAACACAAUAAAUUUACAGUUAUUGGUAAAGCUAUAACAUAAAUAGAAAGAAGUAAAUCAAACAGAACAAAGAUAUCGCUUCGUAGGCAUAUAGGGAAAAUGCUAGAUUCAGAGAUCUCAAACAUGCAAUCAAAACUCAUAUCAAUUGUUACUAAGGGUUUAUUAAGUUCAAUCCCAGAACUUGAAUUCAGUUAUCAGUUGUCAAACUCUCGUUGCGACGAACUAUCUAAGUCUACAUCUUCGAAGGCCAACUCUCGCUGCGUAACCAAUUUCCUUAGACAGGCAUUAAGAUUCAUUUCGAUAUGUUUGGCAAGUUAUUUAGGACAACUCUCGUUGUGUCUAGCAACCUUGCUCUGAAGGAUUCAGAUCCGAAAAUUAGUCACAUUUUCGUUUUAUUCCAAUUAUCCUAAAAUCAAAAUGUCUAGUUAAUUGUUCUAAGAACAAAUAGUAAGAACAAUCAUGAUGAAGGAGACAAUGGAUUAUCCUAGCAACACAAAUCAUCUUGGACUUCAACUCUUCUUGCAAGUACUUGUGUCAGACGGAAAGACAAGGCAAAAAAAUGAGAAUUUAAUUUACCAAUUUACAAAACUAAAAACAGAUUUUGAUAAUGUAGAGAGACAUAAAGUAUCUCGAGUCCAUGAUAGGGUAUCUCUUAAAAUCUGUCCAAGUAUUUGUUUAUAGCCAAGCUUUUUUGUAAAUGGAAAAGAGUAAACCUUCUAGCUUCGAUGGAGUUUUAGUUGGUUACUGCUGUAUUUAAAUUUCCCAUUUUAGGCGAAUUUAGAAGUGGAGCCUGAAGUAUAUGGAAAUGUUAAACGAAGUUUAAAAAAUUCUUUGUUUGAUCGGUAUGUGAAUUAGUUAUUCUAGUGAUGAGUAGCUAAACUUGCUCCAGGAUUUCUACAGAAUAUGCAAUAAACAUUCCACUCAAAUCCUUGAAGUUUUAUAAAAUAAAAGGAAAAAGAAAUACAUAUACCAUGGAUAUUUAAAAAUCCAUAUUGAAUUCAAGUAAAUAAAUAGAAACUUGAAAAUGUUUCAGAAUCUACAAAUUCCAGUAAACACUACUUAGAGGUCUAAACAUUAAACAAUGAGUCCUGACUCAAAAACAGUGGCAGAGUAAACUAGUUAAAACAGUAAAUGUAUCAAACUCUACACUGCAGCAUUCACAAACAAGUGUAUGCAUACUAUUCUGUAACCCAAACAAACAAAAAACCUCAGAAGAUCUAACUUAAAAGAGAGAGAGAGAGAGAUCUAUGGUUCUCUUGAUGUGAUCUUCUGUUUCCUACUUGGAUCUCUCCUGGUACAGAAAUACACAAUCUUGAUGUCAAAAUACAUCUAAAAGAGAUUUGGGUGUGGAUAAAUAUCGAAUGAAAUUUUGAUUGUGUAGUGUUUCGCUUUCACUUACUUGUUCUGUAUAGGACUGUAUCGACUUCUUGGGAUUCUUCGUAAGCUACCUCCAAUAGAUUUCUCCAUGCUUAUCUGAAAAUCUAUGUGUCCCUCUGUGUGAAACUUUCUGCUAAAGAAAGCUAGCAAAAUCAGAAGGAGAGCUACUGAGACCGAUCUUGAUGGAUGUAAUCUCUUCAUUGGUAAUUUAUUUUUGGUCCAUUUUUUGUGAGGAAUUUUUGAGUAGAGAUGUUUUAUAUAAUUAAAGAGAUAGACAAGUUGUAAAGGUGGUUUGCUUUGUAUUGUUCGUGAGACUUUUUGAGAUCUGAUCACACGUGAAGUCUUUUCAGAUGCUGGGAUAUUUAAUUUUUCAUUAAUUUAGUAAUUUAUGGAACGUUCACUGAGCAGAAUCCUCAUAUUCAAACAAGCACAUGCAUACACGUUGUAUCAGGCAUGAAAAUUAUAUGUUUAUUGUAUAUCAAUAUUUUUUUUUUGAUCAAAUUGUAUAUCAAUAUUAGUAGGGGAAAGUUGGAGGUAACAUCAACUGUUGUGUUUUGUCUCUAUGCUAAUUACAUUUUUUCCCCAUUUACAUUAGGUAACAUAAGCAAGGACAUUAAUAUUUAUACUAAAUUAUAAUAGCUGGCUAAUAGUAUACUUUUAUUUGUUUUAAAGUUUUAUGGUACUCGUUUAUAAUUGAUAUGAAUUAAAUAAAAUAAUUAAAUGAUUUUAUGAUGUUGUCUUAAUUAGCCAAAAUAUUUUGGGUUUGAGAAUUUGGAUCGACUUUGUUAUUCAUUUUUGAUAUAUUAGACUACAGUAUUCCUUUGAACUGAACCACAACUAUUUAUUUUUCUCAAAUCAGCCUAAAAUCAGAAAAGUUUUUUAUUUAUUUAUGUUUAUUCAAGUUUUUUUUUGUUUAUUCUAAAUAUAUUUUGUAAAAUUCUGUAAAAAUUGAUAUUUGUUAUUUUCCGAAAUAGUUAAGAAAAGGCUGAUCGAUUUGGGACUGCACCAGGAAAUCAAUUGGUAAUCUUUUGAAUCUCAUUUGGUUAUGAUUCAAAUCAUUAUUGUAAACAAAACUAAGAAAAUUGCUAUCAUCCGAUUUGGUCAUCUUCAGUCCAGGUCAAAUGAGAAUCAUAAUUUAAAAUUUUAAAUUAAUAUUUUAAGGUGUUAAAAAAAAUCUAAUAUUUUAAAUGUUUUUAUUCGAUAUUAAGUUUGUUGUGUGAAAAAUUAGAAAACAUGAUCUUCUGAAUUACAAAACAGCAUUUGACUCUUAUAUUCCAAUUUUCUUGGAUAAGUGGAUUCUAGUAUUGGAAGAUACAAGUUCACUUCAGGAUAUCCUUAUAACAUGGAAUUACCUAAGCUCUUUGGUUGUUAUUCAUCUGCGAUUUCUUAUGAAGCUUUUUUCUUGUUGCUGCAGAAUGAUCAUGGUCGAUUUUCGACAUUAGAAACCCAAAUAACUGAUGUCAUUCACCUGUAUUUUCAACUAAUUUAAGAAAAUGAAAUUUUAAUGAACUAAUUCGGAGGAAACCUAGCCAUGGGGAUAUGAGCAAUGCUAAAUAACUGAUGUCAUUGACCAGAUUCCUAGCCAUGGGGAUAUGAGCAAUGCUAAAUCCAGAGAAACCUUGUCGUAUUAUCCGGAAUGAACUAAUUCGGAGGAAAAGACUUGCCAGUCGACUGGGUUAGCAAUUAUUUCCAUCACGUCUGAGCAAUCUGUCUAUGUUUGGACAAUAGUAAUAUAUAAAUUCCGUAAGCAUGACAUUGUCCACAGUAAUCCUUCUAUCGCAGCAUAGAGAGCCGAAAGGUUUUUGUGGCAGCUUUGCAGUCCAAAUUGUUCAAUCCCCAUUUGGUCACACUCUAUUUCAAAAGAGUAAGAUUACAAAAAUUACAAUGAGCAGUACAAGUCAAAACAUGUCUAAUCAAACAUACAUUAAUACAGAAUAAAACCCGGUAUGACUCGUACUGAGUCGUUCUCCUCCACCCACCCACUGUCCACACCAGUCUCAUCAACCGACGAAAUUAUUAUUUCUUCUCCUUCACGCUCCAAUCCUCACUACUUCAUUACUCAAUGUAGUUGAUUUCCCCUGAAAGCAAGGAGCAGAAGAAUCUCACGACCUCAUUCUAUCUAAUGGAGCGUAACUCCUCAGACGACGACGAAGAAGACCACCAGCAUUUGAUCCCUCAAAACGACACUCGCAGCCGCCACCGAGAAGAUCCCACAAACGGCGGAUCAUCUUUCCAGAUCGAAGACAUUAUUCUGUCGCGGAGGAAGAUCUCGCUCAACAAGCGUUACCUCCUCGCCGCCGUCUCGCUAACUAUCUUGAUCGGUCUCAUCUUCUUAUUCACUGAUCUCCGUCAGCAAUUCUCCAGUUUCAAGGUAGAUCCGCUCUCGAGCCGCGUCAAAGAAUCAGAGCUCCGGGCGCUCUAUCUCCUCAGACAGCAACAGCUCGAGCUUCUCUCUAUCUGGAACGGUACGACGAGUGCUAACUCUUCUGUGAGAGUCGCCGUCGCGAAGCAGAUCUCACUGAAUAAUGAGAUCCAAGAGGAGCUUCUGUCGCCACACAAAACCGGGAACUACUCCGGCUCGGUGGUGGCUAACUUGUAUGAGAGAUGCGUGAAAGUGGAUCAGAAAUUGUCAGAUCGGAGAACGGUAGAGUGGAAGCCGAGAUCGGACAAGUUUCUGUUCGCUAUAUGCCUCUCGGGACAAAUGAGCAACCACUUGAUUUGCCUAGAGAAGCACAUGUUCUUUGCCGCAUUGCUGGAUCGGGUUCUUGUGAUCCCGAGCUCCAAGUUUGAUUACCAGUACGACAGAGUGAUAGAAGUUGAGCGGAUUAAUACUUGCUUGGGAAGAAACGUUGUCGUUUCUUUCGAUCAGUUUAAAAAGAGUCGUCCUCCUCGUAUCGACCGUUUCAUUUGUUACUUCUCAUCGCCGCAGCUUUGCUAUGUAGAUGAUGAGCAUAUCAAGAAGCUUAAAGGUUUGGGGGUUUCAAUCGAGCGGAAGCUCGAGUCUCCUUGGAGCGAAGAUAUAAAGAAACCUAGCAAGAGAAAUGUGGAUGAGGUGCGGAGAAGUUUCAAGUCUGAUGAUGAUGUGAUCGCAAUUGGGGAUGUUUUCUAUGCUGAUAUGGAGCAGGAUUGGGUGAUGCAGCCUGGUGGACCUAUUAACCACAAGUGCAAGACGUUGAUUGAACCCAAUAAGCUUAUUUUGCUGACCGCGCAACGGUUCAUACAGACCUUCUUGGGAAACAAUUUCAUCGCGCUUCAUUUCCGUCGACAUGGGUUCCUUAAAUUCUGGUAUAGCUUUUUCAUCUUUGCUUAUAAGCGGCAUUGUAGUCAUAUUUAAAAUUGAAUAUAUUUCAUUCGCAGCAAUGCAAAAGCGCCGAGUUGCUUCUAUCCGAUUCCACAAGCUGCGGAGUGUAUUGCUAGGAUGGUCGAAAGAUCCAACGGUGCAGUAAUCUAUCUUUCGACAGAUGCUGCAGAAAGUGAAACAAGUCUGCUUCAGUCACUUGUUGUGGUCGAUGGAAAAAUUGUGCCACUUGUCAAACGUCCACCGCGUAAUUCAGCUGAGAAAUGGGACGCACUGUUAUAUCGACAUGGUAUAGAGGAUGACUCUCAGGUAUGAAUCUCAGUGUUUCUGCAAUUUGUCUACGGUUAAAAAAACCAUAUCUCUUGAAAUGCUGCGCGGUCUGAAUUUGGUAAGUGAACUAAAAUGCUUAUUAUAGACGACUAGACAAUGCCUAAUGAUAUAUCAUGGCGUGAUGUAUCAAACUUUGCAUGUUACCAUCUUCAUGAGUCAUAGACCAGUAAAUUGUUUUUUGGCAAAUGUGUAGGUGGAUGCAAUGCUGGAUAAAACGAUAUGUGCCAUGUCCAGCGUCUUCAUUGGAGCCUCUGGAUCGACGUUCACGGAGGAUAUUUUGAGGCUAAGGAAAGAUUGGGGGACGUCUUCUAUGUGCGAUGAGUACCUAUGUCGAGGGGAAGAACCAAACUUCAUAGCAGAAGAUGAAUAAGUAAAGCAUACAUUUUUUUUCUUACGAACUUGUUUUAUUCCCACAUUCCAUUGUUCUCUUAUUCUAGUUGAGUCGUAGUUAGUUAUAGAAACCCGAUUUUGGAUACUUUUUUCCAUUUUUAUUUUUUCCAUGAUGGUGUGGAGAUAACAGUGUGAAUCGAUAGAAGAAAGAGCCUCGGGUUCUCAACAAGUAAUACAUAUUAUACAAAGUUGUCUCAAUCCAAAUGUAUUGUUUUUGUCUCUCUUCAAGCGAUAAAAGUUUGAAGUUUAUUUUUAUUUUUUUGUAAUGUUGUGAUAAAAAAGAAACUUUUGUUUUUGUAAUAUGCAAGAGCACUUUCUAGAUGUUAUUAAGUGUCUGUAUACUGUAAAAACUAAUUAAUCCUAAAUGUCGCUGGGCCAAUCAUGGGCUUCAUAAUAAAGUUGGAUUUCUUCUAAUUUGUUUAAUUUUUUUUGUUAAAUGUUUCAAGGAAGUGGUAUUUACUAGAAGAAAAGAAAACAAAAUCUGAUAGAACUCCUGACCAAGAAAAAAUAAAAGAUGUCAAACUCAACAAACGAAACCCUGUCUGAAAAGGGACAAUCCGAUGGCAAAAUCUCUAAUAAUCAACGAACAGAGCCGUCUCAGGAAUGGGAGACCAUGGCUCAAGCCUGGGUCGCCGCCUUCCCCGACGCCAACUCCGUCGUAAGCGCCACUGAAGUCGAGACUUGGAUCGGCUCCAACUUCGACUCCCUGCCGGCGGAUCUCCGUCAGAGGCCCCUCUCCGACCUCGUCGACCGUUUCCUCUCCAUGCAACAGUACAUGAGACAGACAGCAUCUGAACAGAACGAGGUACGUGUCUCUUCUUGAUGAAUUGGAUUUGUGUUUAUGAUUUCUCUUAUCUGAUGUUUGUUUGUCUUAACGAAACAGCAAGAGAGCCAAGCUGAUCAGCAUCCAGCUCGGUUUCAGAGGACUGACCAGUGGUUACCAGUGUACUCGUGGUUAGAAUCUCUGGAUAGUGGAGAGCUGGUGAAAUCGAAGGAUAUCUCUGAGUGGCUCGACGCGAAUCCAGAGGUUAAGGAAGAGCUCUCGUCAAGGCAUUCUCGUUAUCAUUUGACUCAUUAUGUCAAAAAAUGUCAUCUCAAGAUACUUAAAAGAAAGGAGAAGAAGGUAAAAGCAAAACUCUCUUUGCAAUUUUCUUCAUUUGUUUUUCAUCUGUUUUCGACUUGCUUGCAAUUUGAAUCAGGGGUUGAUCCGCCUUAGUAGAGAAACUGCAAUGGAGGUUCACAAAGAAUUUGGGGAGAAACACCAUAAUGCCACCCUUUCUGGUAUAGAAACGCUUUCUGUAAUUGUUUGUUUUAUUUAUGAUUGUUUUAGAUUCAAAGGGCUCUUUGUUAGUGAUGUAGUGUCAUUCUUAAUGUUUUAGCUGAUCCCAUGAGCAAUAUACCAAAAGACAGUGACCUCUACCGUACUAAACUUAAAGAAGCUAAACGCAGAUUCGAGAUGUGAGUGGGAUUUCUCAACACUUUCUGUGUAAUAAACAUAAACUUAUUUAACUAUUCAUUUAAAGGUUAUACUAAUGUUUGUUUUACGCAUCAUCCAGCUUGGUUGAGCUCGAGAAGAAACUAGCUCCGCAUUUUUCAAGGCCUCGAAUAACCAACACAUGAACUUAUCUACCUACUUCUUUGUAGAGUCAAUCAGAAGCUGGUUUCGAACACUUCCUUUUGGUUGACUUUGUACGUCUGUUAUCUGCUUUUGGUGUUGUAGAACUGUUUGUGAAAUGUUAAGGUCAUGUAGCUGUAUGGAGUUUUGUUUGAAUGUAUGUUGGUGCAGUGCAGCAAACCGUAACUUGUAACCUUUUCUAGACUAUAUGUAGGCCCAACGAAGAGAGAGAGGGAGAGAGAGAUGCUCACCAUGAGCUGUAAAACGAUGUUUGCCUCUUUAAUUUUUAUUAAAUGUUGCUCACAGCCUAAACAUACUGUGUUUGAAGGAAAGAGGAAGUAUAUGAUUGUUGCUACUUGUUUAGUUAUUUUCUACGAAAAAUAGAAUAAAAUAUGAGAAACAUUCUUAAGAAGAAUUAAAACAUAUAUACUUAUAUUUUUAAAUAUAUAUUAAUUAAAUUAUGUUAAAAACAAAGUCCAUAACUUUUUAAAGUAUUAUUUUAAAGAAUGUAAAUAGUCAAUUAUACAAAAUAUAUAUUAUAAUUAGAUUAAUAGGAUUUAGUAUUUUGACGUUGAUUAAAGUAUUUUUUUAAAUUGAAUGUUAUUUGAGGAAUUACAUUCUGUAAUACAAAAUAUAUAUAUAAACCAUAUACAAAUAAAAAAUAAAGUGUUACUAUAUAUUAUAUAUUGUAGCAGCCUGUAUUGUAGUGCAGUAAGACCAAAAUAUUCGUAAAUUUUAAGGAACCUUAAUCGAUUGGUAUCUUAUGUUGACGCAUUCAAGUUCCUUUUCGAAUUGUUGUCAACUUCUUUCGAAGAACUAUCCUAAUUGGUAUCUUAUGUUGUUGUAGUUUAUGGUUUUUAUCAAAGAGCAUAGAUAAUUCCCUCUACCUAUUGUAUUCAUCAAACAAGUUGAUGAGUAAUGAAAGUGAGUCGUGUUCCAAAACAAAAAGAAUAAGAUUACAUGGCAACUAAGCUGAGCUGGCUCUUCUCGUUAACUUUGAUACUUAAUCUGACAUGGAUAGUUUAAAUGGCUUUUGAUUAAAUCUUAUUUGUAUACCUUCUUCAGUUUCUUUGUCUUUAGUUUACAACAACAAAAAAAAAACUAUUCAUAGCAUGAGAAUAAGGUUUGAUGAAAUUUCUAGAUGAUAAAAAAAAAGCAUGAGAAUAAGCUAGUUGAAUGAAUUACGGAAUUAGCUUAUUGGAAAGAUUUCAGACUUUCAAUACGUCACCGAGUCCUUUAGUUGGGUUGUUACAAACUUCAAGCUAUUUCUUCCAACGUUUGCUUCUUGUCCUUUCUCGCUACCAAAAUUUCAUCAGGAUCUAAGGCAGCUACGAGAUCGACUAUGGCGUGGUGGCCUGACGGCGGUUUUUUGAUGAUGAUGAUGAUGACCAUCAUUUCUUUCGUUCAAGCCGAAGAUUCCAACCGCUUCUUCGACUUGAGGGUCACUUACGGCAAUGUCUCUGUGACUAAGUACGUUCCUCCAACAAGGGUACAUUUUCAACAAUAUGGCUACUUCUGUUUUCGUAGUAUAUAUAUGUGUGUAUGUAUUUAUUUAUUUUUGAAUGAAUGUAAAAUUUAUUUAUUUAAAAUACACAUGCAUAUCGACAUGCAGGUAAUUCUAAUAAACGGAAAAUUUCCCGGACCGGAGCUUUACUUAGUCACCAAUGAUAAUUUGAUCAUCAAUGUUCACAAUGAUCUGGACGAGCCUUUUCUCUUGUCUUGGUAUCUAUUUAUUUACCUCUUUCGUUUCACCUUUCGGUAAACAUAAUUUGAACCCGAUUCACAUGAAAUAUUUCUACAUCCAUUUAAAAAGCAAUGCAAUUUUAAUAUAUAUAUAUAUAUAUAUGCAUAUAUGGAAAUUAUAAGUUAUAUUAGAAGAAGGCCAUUUGCAUGCACAUGUGCCGUUUCUUCCCAUUCUUUCUAUUUUGUUGGGUAAUAUUACACGUCAAUGUUUCAUCCUAAUUACAGUAUCAUAAAAAAAAAUCAUAUAAAUAUCAUAAACACAAAACAUGUUUUCAUAAAUGGAGGAACGGCUUGCAUCUAAAGAGAAACUCUUACCAAGAUGGAGUGUAUGGGACGACUUGUCCAAUCCCACCUGGAAAGAAUUACACUUAUGCCUUCCAUCUCGAAGACCAGAUCGGAAGUUUCUUCUACUUCCCUUCGCUGGCCGUUCAAAAAGCCGCCGGUGGUUUUGGUGCCAUCCGUAUCCUCAGUCGCCCUGGCACGCCCGUCCCUUUCCCGCAACCAGCCGGAGACUUCACCAUCCUCAUCGGGGAUUGGUAUACUGGGGAAGACCACAAGGUUUAUAUCUUAAUUAUUAACUUAUCAUGUUUGCUUAGCACAACGGCUGGCUCAAGAUUAUUGUGGGUUUACAUGGCGAUUUUUAAUUUUAUUUUUGGAUUCACAUUGGAUUUCUAGACCUUUUUAUUAAAUAAUGUUUGUUUUUAAAAAGUGUUACUAAUCCACACGUAGGAUUUAAAGGCACGUUUGGAUGGAGGACGCAUGAUACCUAGGCCUUAUAGUGUUUUGAUCAAUGGCAAUGAAGACACCGCCUCUACUUCUCUAACUGUCGACAAAGGUUAAUGUUUAAAACUCCAAACUCUAAUAUGUUAGUUACAAAGAAGAGCAUUUUCGCGAUCUCAUCAUCACUUUCAUGGGUUAAUAAUUAACAGGUAAAACGUACAGAUUCAGAAUAUCAAAUGUGGGGCUUCAACUGUCCCUAAACUUCGAAAUAUUAGGUCAUAUGUUGAAGCUCGUUGAGGUCGAGGGAACCUACACAAUCCAAACCAAGUUCACUUCACUCGACAUUCACGUUGGUCAAUCUUACUCUGUCCUGGUCACCAUGGACCAGCCUCCCCAAAACUAUUCGAUUGUCGUGGGGACGAGAUUCACUGACUCACGAUCUACGAAUAGAAUUAUUCUUCACUACUCCAACUCCAAAAGCUCUAAAUUUGUCCCUAAUAGACAACCUGACAAUGACAUAGACUUUUCGAUUAAACAGGCUCGGUCCAUUAAGACUAACCUGACUGCGUCCAGGCAAAGGCAAGAUGCUCAGGGCUCAUACCAUUAUGGUCGAAUCAAGAUUUCUAGGACAUUAAUACUUGAAAGCUCAGCAGGCGUUGUGAACAGGAAGCAACGAUAUGCCAUAAAUGGCGUAUCAUUCGUUCCUGCUGAUACUCCACUGAAGCUAGCAGAUUACUUUAAGAUCAAAGGUGUUUUCAAAGUAGGAAGCAUCCCAGAUAAGCCUGGAAGAGCAGGGAUCAGACUAGAAACAGCAGUGAUGGGAGUACACCACAAGGAUUUUCUUGAGAUCGUCUUUCAAAACCGCGAGAAGUACGUCCAGACUUACCAUCUCGAUGGAUACAACUUCUGGGUUGUCGGGUGAGAACAAUAACUUAAUCAUAUACUAUGGUAAUGAUAUUAACCAUUGAAGGUCAUUGACGUAUGUGACUUCUCAACAGGAUUGGUAAUCGAUGGUCUACAUGGUCACAUGCGAGCAGACGAGACUAUAACCUCAGGGAUGCUAUUUCUCGCUCCACUACUCAGGUCAGGUGACGUGAACUCUCUCCAUAUAUCUAUACAGUUUUGGAAUUUGUUGUCAAUAGAUUUUAUGCAAAGCUCAUACAAUUCCCCGUGGGGCACGUCCCCUCCCAGCUGAAAUUCACAUUAGGGGAUCUAAGCAACAGUCCCUUUUGGUAUUCCUAAAUAGUACCACAAGACUGGAAUUAUUCACUUGGUUCUUAAUUAAUGUUGGAAAUGUGUAUAUUAUUAUAGGUCUAUCCAAAAUCUUGGACAGCUAUAUAUGUGGCUUUCGAUAAUGUGGGGAUGUGGAAUUUCAGAAGUGAGUUUUGGGCAAGACAAUACUUAGGUCAACAAUUCUACUUCCGAGUUCACUCUCCGGCUAACUCUACCAGAGAUGAAUAUCCUUUGCCUAAAAAUGCUUUGUUGUGUGGUCGAGCCUCAAACAGACACAGGCGCGACUUCAUACCCUAGCUCCUAUUGACAUGAUGCCCUUCAUAUCAAUCUUGAAUGAAUUAACCAAUAUAUUUUAAUGAGUAAUAUAAUAUAUCCACACCAAAAGAUAAAAGGUUACUCCUAUAAGCUUCAAAGUAGCUCCUGACUAUACACUUCAAAAACAAUUCACGUAAUGUUUGUAAUCCUUCUUUAUGUAUAAUAUAUUUUGAUCCGUGCUUUUAUUAAGAGUAUUUGUUUAGUUGAUCAGAUUUUAUCAAAUAAAAAAUUAAUUUUAUAAAUAGUUUAUCUGUUUUAUGUUUUGUAUAUAUGAUUCAUAUUUAAAAUGUGCGUAUAAAAUUUAUAUUAGUUUUUUUUCAGUGAACUAAGUUUUUGGCAGAAUUCAGACAUAUGCCAUGUGUAAAUUUUUAUUCUAAUUCAGUUAUUUAAAUUUUAAUAGAAAAUAAUUAUUAUUACACCUAGAUUCUCUCAUUCUAAUUCAUCGCUACUAACUAGAAGAAGUUUCAGGAGAAAUUUAGAUUUCAAUUUAAAAUUUAUAAAUAAAAUUUUUUUUUUUUUGAAAUGUCAAAUAUAUGUAAAAUGCUAACCGUAUUAUAACACGUAGGGGUGGACAAAAAAAACCGAACCGAAUCAAGUUAAACCAAACCAAUCGAAAUGAAACCGAUUCAAAUCGAACCAAAGUCUAUUUCAAACUAUUCGAUUGAAGAUUUUCCCAAUCCAAAUGGUUUAGUUCAGUUCGGUUUUAAACCAAACCGAACCGAUAAACUGAUGUGUUUUUGUAAUUAUUUAAAUUAAAAAUAUUAGUAAUACAAAUAUACUAAAAUUCUAAUAGUAAACCCCAUAUUUUUCAUUUUUCAUUCAUUAACAUAUAUUCUUCUAACCUAAUAAUUCUAGUUUGAAAUAUCCUGUUUGCAAUUCUAGUUAGUGAAAAGAAUAUACUAGGUCUAUGAUAAUGGAAUCAUGUGUUUAGAGUGGCAAAGAUAUAAAUAAAUACUUGUAUUUGUGUAUAACAUAUAUAUAUACUAGUUAUUGAUUUGUUGCAGUCUUUUUGAUGAUAUGAUAUAAGAGACAUUACUAAUGAUGUUGUUGUUUUUUUACUUUAGUUAAAUUUCAUUUGUUUUAAUUUUUAUAUACUUUUUGUGACUUCUUAAAAGUUUUUGUUUUAGUUUUAUAUAGAAUUUAGUUCACAUCGUUUAUGUUUACAUAAUCUUAUAUAUUAAAACAGAAGUCACAACUUUGAUUCAUGUGUGAUUUUUUCAAAAAAUGGACCCUCACUAGAAAGUUAUGUUUCAUUUAUUUCUAAUUAAUAUUUUCUGACUUACUCGGCGGUAAUUACUUACGCCUAUAAAAUUGGUACGGUUGAACAAAUAUAUUUUGGCAUCAUUUAUAAAUCACAUACACGACAUGUAUAUAUCGAACCUAACUUAUGCUUAAUAAGAUUCACUCUUGAACCGGCUCGCUUUAUACACUUAAUAAACAAGGAAAGCAUUUGAUUAAACCGGUUCUAACCAUCAUUUAUAAUAUAUGAUUAGUUUGACUAUUCAACCUAUUCGAUUUAAACACUAAAUAAACCACAUCACACAUUGGACUUAACCGGACAUCAAGUGAUCAUCAUUUAUAAUACAUUAUUACCUUGAGUAUUCAGCCGGUUCGUUAUAUACAGUAAAUAAAACUAACAAAAUAAGAUUUGAACGGUACUUGGAAUGAAAUACUAUUCAUAUUUUUGGGUACUUUCAUAAUUCAUAAAUUAUUGUUGAGAACCAAGUACAUAUUAUACCUAUAUAAAAAGAUUCUAUGGAUUUAUGGAUUUAUUAGUUAAGACGAAUGUUUAUUUUAAAAGGCUUUUUAAACCUUUUGAUUGCAAUAUACGAUUCUCAAAAAUAUUUUCUAUAUUCCAUAAUAUUGACAUAAUUUAUUAUUGAUCUCCAUAAAAAGCUCAUCGACCUUAGCUAAUAUACACAAGAUCCAUUUUGAAAAGGUAAAUUCAUAAAUCAUUUAAUAUUGUGUGUGGGUUUACUAAUCAUAUAUUCCAAGUGUAUAUAUAAAAGCUAUUAGUAAUAGAUCACAUAUUUCUUGAAUAAUUGAAUUUAAAAUGUUAACGCCCAUUGGAUUUAUAGAUAGAUAGUAUAUUUUCGUACAUUGUCCUAAUUUUUAAAUGUUUAAACUAUUUUUUUUAAACGAAAUAUAUUUUUUUACUAGAUAGGAUUUUUCUAUUUAUGUAAAGUCAUCUUAUUAUGUAAAGUCACAUAUAAAUUUGUAUUUUAAUAAUAAACCUUCAUAUGUAAUAUAUUUUUAGACAUUACAAUAAUUUUCUAUUUUACGAAAAUUAGAAGAGAUUACCGAGUUUAAUAAUUAAACAAAAAUCCAACAAACAAUAUAUUGUAAAGAAAAUAAAAAAAAACUAAUGUGAUAGUUUGAAACAAUUAAUUUGAUUAAGAACACAUAAACUAUAACAAUUUUGAGUUUGAAAAAGUUAUUUACACAUUUCAAAAUAUGUGAUUAUUAUAAUAUAUAUUAUUUUAAAGUAAAAACAAAAUAUCUAUGUAAAUAUGAAUGAAAACAAAUACCCGCACGGUUGUGCGGGUCAAGAUCUAGUUUAUGUUUUAAAACAUAACUAGAUUUUGACCCGCACGCCCGUGCGGAUGUAUUUUUUUAAAAAAUAUGAUGCUAUUUGAUUUUUAUGUCACUAUUUAGGGUUGGUCAAAAAACUCGAAUUCGAAGAAUUGAACUGAUUCCAAUCCGAAUAAGUAGUACUAAAUCUGAAGCGGAAUUGAUUAAAUAUCUGAAUUAUUCAAAAUUUUGGUAUUUGAAAAACUGAAAUCUAAUCCGAACCGAGCCGAAGUAUUUUGGGUAUCCAAAAUAGAUUUAUAUACUUAUAUAUAUAAAUUAUUUUUAGAUUUAAUAUAUAUAAAAAUAUCCAGAAUAUAUAUGAUGUAAAUGAAUACAAAUAAUCGAACGUAAAUACUUAAAUAUAUGAUGUAAACUUUUAAGUUCGCUUAAAUGCUUGAAAAUAUGAUGUAAACUUCUACGCUUAAAUACUUAUAUAUAUGAUGUAAACUUUUAAGUUCGCUUAAAUGCUUGAAAAUAUAUACAAAUAAUCAAACGUAAAUAUCUUAAAUAGUUAAAAUAUACUCAAAACUCCAAAAAUACUAAAAUAAUUAUUAAUUCUCUAUCCAAAUAUUUAAACCAAACCUAUUUAAAUUGGUUAUCCAAAUCCGAACCAAAUCUUCAAAGAUCUGAACUAAACACGAAAUUCCAAAAAGACCCGAAAACGAACCCGAACGCCCACCCCUAAUCACUAUUAUAUAUAUAUAUAUAUAUAUAUAUAUAUAUAUAUAUAUAUAUAUAUAUAUAUAUAUAUCAUAUAUGUGUCAUCAUAUGUUACAAAAUAUGUGUUAUCAUAUAAUUAAUCGUAUUUUAUAUGUACCAUCAAAUAAGUUUUUCUUAGAAUUAAUAAUAUUUUAUACGUACAAUCAUAUAAAUAAUCACAUAUAUUAUAUUUUAAAAUUUAAUGUGAAAUAGAAAAACCAUAAUUUAAGUUGGUGUUUGAAAUUGAGCUUUGUAUUGUAUUUUUCUUAUAUAUAUUGAAAAUAUUUUUAUAAUAGUUAUUAGAAAAUAUGUUAGUAAAAAUCAAAUUUUGAAUAUAUAUAUAUAUAUAUAUGAAUGAAUUUUUGAUAUAAAUCAAUUUUAAUUUAUUAUUUUGAUUUGAAUAUAUUAUAUAUCAAAUAACAUAGACCCAUUAUUUUUUUAAUAUAAUGUAAUGGACUUCCAAUUUUUAGUAGCAUAAGCCCAUUUUUUUUUUUUAAUUUACUAUUAUCCAUGUUUCCAAACAAUACUAUUUUUGUAACUAUUAUCCAUAUUGCCAAACAAUCUCAAUGUGUACUUCAACUUUAAUAAUAUAGAUUUUUUUUAGAAUAAUUAAACUAAGAAGAAUCUAAUUAAACCGAUCCAAAAACAAUAAUAUAUACUUUUGCAUUGUUGACCGGAGCUGUCGAUUGUUGAUGAAGGUACCGUGCACAUACAAUGCAAAAGUAUAUAUUAUAAGGACAUCAAAGUUUUGUUUGGACAGUAGUAUGACAGAGAGAUAAUAAAUAUUUACCUGCCCAUAAAAAGGGUAAAGACAUAGUAAGACAUCAAAACAAUGCUUCCCAGAUUCUUGUUCUUGUUGUAUAUGAAUGGAAGAAGGGGCGGAAUAGGAGAAGCAGUGUUGUUGCUGCUUGCGCUCACCGUUGGGCUUGGACUUGGCUUGGGUAAGAAUCCUACCAUAGCCACUAUCAUUGCGCCUAUGACAGUGUGGAGGCACAAAACAAUGUCAUCCCAUGAUCCAACACGUACGGUACCAACGGGAACUUCCCUAACCACAUUCAUGUGGAUGCAAGCAAGACAUGCUAUUUCGCAGAAAGAUCUUAAAGACAGCCGGACACGGUAGUUAAAACCAAAAGCACUUCCAGACCCAGUGAGGCGGUGUGCGAGGUUCUGCGCAUUCACUUCCGAGAAAACGAAUCCGAGGCUCCUCAAAGCUAUGCUUAAUCCACGAGAGUCAAGGUAUUCUUGGGUGUCUUUAUUCAAAUUGAAAAUAUCUUUGAGAAAAUUUUCGUUCUGCAUUGGUGAAAAUAUAUUCAUAAAUUUGGAGCGAGGAAUCUUCUUUAUAGCAUCUUCUGUCUCUUCGAUACCAUAUUUCUCCACCAGACUCAGAACUUCAUCAUCAUCAAAAUUCAUGUCCAGCAGUUUAAUUAUUGUUUUUAAUAAAGCUCUCCCACCAUCUCUCGAUUGGAGUUCAUGGCUGCUCUCUCCAGCUAAUGAAUUUUAGUUUAAACAGAUAAAGGUGAAAUCAAAGAGACUGCUUCUCUUCCAACUUUGACCGGACUCUUCAUUUGCUUUAAUUAUAAUCCCUAACGGUUAUGCGUCGUAUUAUUUCUUUUUCUUGCUUGAUCCUUCCAUUUUUGAUUAUAAAUCUCCAUACUUUAUGACCAAUAAAGUGGGUUUCAUGUUCUUUUAGUUGUGUAUUGAACAGAUGGAAGAUUUUUGGUAGAAUCAGAUUUAGAUUAAGCAAAGUUAAGGUCUACUAUGAUAGACGUCUCACAUAUGAUCCACCUUUUGAUCUUUCAAGCUCUCUAUAGCGCAAAAAAGAAAAGAAGAUGUUGAUUGAAGAUCAUCGGUACAAGCUAAAGCGAUUUGUGAUAGACUAGAUGUGACAGAAGUAUGAUUUGAAGUCUUCAGGUAGUGCUAAAGAGAAACAUUGAAGAAAUGAUGAAACUGCGAAUCUCCGGCAACGGCGAAAAAUCCCUUUCGCUUAUUAUGUCACGUGGCCGGAUUAUAUCCAUGGAAGACAACUGUUAUCGCCCAUUGAUAGUCGAGAAUUUAUAACUGCUUGAGCUUCAUGCAUUAUUAUUAUUAACAUAAGCUACCUGCCAUUCAUCGAAGUACUAAAAGAAACUAUAUCGAUUACCAAACAAACUUCGACCAAAAAAAAAAAAAUAAGAAACACAAAAGCUCCAAAACAGAAAAUAAAACUGCAAAAUAUGUACAUUCCUCCUAAGUUCUAAGUGAAAAUAUCAAAGAUCUCGAACUGCAUGGCUCUAGCCUCUAGUUAACUAAGCCUUCUCUCCUCAUCAUGUCAAUCUAACGGUAGAUAUUCGAUCCUGCAGAUCAAACGGCCAAAACUCACCGUCCAAGAAAAAGUGCAGCGUUAACGUCAAGCCGCCACGCGAAGCCACCGUCAUUCAUCUUCCAACCAUCACAAGGCGAAGUAAUCGAACUCACUAAACUAUCGCGACACGUGUACUGCAGUCUCAUUCUACAUGUGAACGUCCGUUUCGUUAGCAAAGGCUUCUCCUUCAUCACCAGCCACACACUCAUCUUACUACAACACUUGUCCUUCCCAAUCACCAAAUCUCUGUACGAACCAUUCGUCCAAACGACUCUCCCUAAACCGUCCGAUAUAAAACCAGGACACGUGUCCCUCUCCAGAUUCAUCUUCUUUUCCUCGUCCGUACACCCUAACUCGUACUCCCCCUCCGUUACGCACUCUACCGUUAACAACGACGACACAACCGUUUCCGUUCUCGCCGUUAGUAAUCCCUCCGUCAGAUCUAAACUCUUCUUCGCCGCUUGAUAACGUCCGUCAUCUCCGAAACUCAACCACGAAGACGCCGCCGCAGGCACCAAAACCCUAGGCGGUUCCUUCCUCCUCUCAGGAGUCUCGGGAAGAAGAGGCAACGUCACAGUCUCAGAUCCGUUCUUAGCCUCUUCGUUUCUCCUCCGUUUACUGUUGCCGUUACUGUUAACAGAUCCCCCGCUGCUGCUACUGUUCUCUUUCGAAUAUUUUCUCUUUCCUCUCCGCGACUUGGGCGAUACGGAAUCCAACGGCAGCGAAGAGGAUCCGCCGGAAUCUGGUCUCGGAGCAAUCGGACGGUACCGGAGCAUAAUCCUAUCCACCUUUGACAUAUCACCACCACCACCACUGCCUCCGUAUCUCGCUAUACAACAGCCUCCCCGAAAAUUCAUUUUUAAUUGAUUUUUUCUGCGAAAUUUUACUUUUAAAGCAAAUGAAAUGAAGAUGCUGAAUUAACGUGAAGCUUGCCGGUACGUUUAUAAAGAGAAAACUGUUACGUCGACACGUUUGGAGAAACAGCCACGUGCGAGACCACAGGCUGAACAGCGCAACCCUGUGAUUGGACGAUAGGGGAGAGACGUGGCGUCUUGCGGUUGAAACUUUGGGGUCACACAAAGGACUCGGUACGAGGGCGUGACGGCCAAUCGCAGAGCGAGGAGUGGCUAUUAGUUGCGGUGCGAUUAAAGGUAACGGACACAUAUGUCUGUAACUUGCCAGUAUACGUGUAACCUAAGGCUACGAGACGCAGGACACAUGGCCCAAUCUUGUUUACUCAUUUGGUCAUAGAGUUUGAAUUUUUUAUUUUAUUUUAAGUUUGGUUUCUAUUAUUAGGAUGUAGGAUGGUGAGAGAUUUUGACACGUGAAGAGGGAGCUUAUGACACGAAUCUAGUUGGGAUGUGGAUAUUUAUUUCCAAAAUUAAGGAUUCUUUUAGCAUGCAUAUAGUUGGUGAAACAAGUACAUAAUUAAAAUUUUGAAAUAAAUUAGAAGGCAUUCACUGUUGCCACGCGCUAAACUGAGCAGAGCGACAAUCCAGGAGAAGAUUCUGAUUCUCCAUCGACAAUGGGAUAGUGUUUUUCCAAGUUCUUCUUAAAGACUUUUGAUUAGAUGAACAAGAUAUGGCAGUGCUACAGAAACGACCCCAUAAAUUUUGUUCUAAAAUUUUAACAUGUUUAUCAAAAAAAAAAAACAAAAAUUUUUUGUUCUAAACUCCUUUGGUCCAUGUGUACCGCUUGGAGCUAAAGAGCUCUUAAAGUGAAUUAAAAACUACGGUUAUUUGCAAAAAUAAAUUUUAUUUUAUUUGUGAAUGUUGACUCUAAUCACGUACAAGCAAGAUGGGCCUUAAUCAAUGGGACUGCAAGAAAAAUGGAGACUGGGUUUAUUCACAUAUGAAACCCAUCACGUUUUAACAGUAAACGUGAAGCACACAAGGGUUGUGAUAGAGAUGCUUAGUAUAAAUAGAACCUUAUCCUAAGCAUUAACAACCCUAGCAGUAAUCUCCUGUAUCAAAAAGUGUAAAGAAGAAACACUAAAAGCUUGUACUUUUCUCAGAUUAUAGUGAAGCUUGAGGGACAAGAGUUCCCUGCCCUCCCCAGAGGUAACAGUUAGAGGCCGUGAACUGGGUCAAAAGUGUUUGUGUCUUUUACAGUUUAUGCUUACUCUAAAUUGGUUUUAGCAAACGAUCAAACCCUCACAAGUGGUAUCAGAACACAUUUGGUUAAAGCUAAACCGAUCGUCGACCAGAAGAAGAAGAUCUACAGGUUAGAAGAAACUCUCACUGGUUGUUUCUUCAUUUGAGAUUUCUUGGUUUGAGGUGGAGUAAGUUUUCUGAAGAUAGUUGCUGUAACCGGGAGUAGAAAUUGUUAUCCGGAUUUGGUUCAUCAUAUCUCUUGAGCUAGUUUUCUGUUGUGUUGAGGAGGGCGUUACACAACCCCAAACUCAGGCGAGUUAAGGUUGUUCUUGUAUUUGAAUCUGGUUCCUGAAAUCAAAGGGUCAAAUACAUCAGCAUGGAACAUCCUCAAAGCAGACUGGAUGUAGAGAAAUUUGAUGGUAAAGGUGAUUUUGGAUUAUGGAAACAUAAGGUGUUAUGUCAGCUGGAGCUCAUGGGCUUAGAGUCUGUGUUGGAAGAAGGUGAGACCUCUGAGUCAGAACCAGACAAGCAAGAUGAAGGCCAGUAACCAGGAAAAGAUCCAAAGUUUGCUGAGAAGGAUAAACGGGUGAAGAAUCUUAUUAAGAUGUGUCUAAGCGAUCAGAUCUUAAGGAAGGUCAUGAAAGAGCCUACUGCUGCUGGGAUUUGGAAGGCUCUUGAGACUGACUACUAGACCAAAACUUUACCCAAUAGGAUCUAUCUGAAGCAGAGGUUUGCUAGUUUCAAGAUGGAGGAGAACAAAAGUAUUGAAGAAAACUUAGACAGUUUUCAAAAGCUUGUGGAUGAUCUUGCAAGUCUGAAUAUAAACAUAAGUGAUGAGGAUCAGGCUAUUCAACUCCUUACUAGCCUCCCACCACUGUAUGAAGCCUUGGUUCACACUCUCAAGUAUGGUAGUGGUAAAGACACACUUUCAGUAAGUGAUGUUACUACUUCAGCGUAUUCCAAAGAAGUGGUGUUAAAGGAGAAAGGUCUCCUGAACAGAACCAGAGGAAACUCAGAAGGUUUGUACGUUGAGUCUAGAGGCAGGUCUGAAAGAAGACCUGAAAAAGGAAACUACAAACCGAGGUCCAAGUCAAGGGGUAGAUCAAAGUCAAGACCGAAGUAUAAUAAGAACACUACAGGAUGUUUCUUAUGUGGUAAAGAAGGACAUUGGAAGAGGGAGUGUCCAGAUAAACAUGGAAAGAAGCCAAACAGCUUUGCAAACGUUGCGACAAAGGUGACAGAGAAGGUGAAAGAGCCGCUUGUUCUUACAGCAAGCAAGCAUGACUCCAAAGGCGCUUGGGUCAUGGACUCAGGCUGUAGCUUCCAUAUAACUCCAGAUAAAGAGUCUUUGUUUGAUCUACAAGAGCUUGAUGGAGGAAAAGUCUUGAUGGGAAAUAUGACGCACAGUGAGGUGAAGGGGAUUGGCAAGAUUAAAAUCUUAAAUCCAGAUAAUUUUGUGGUUAUUCUGACAGAGGUUCGGUAUAUGCCAACGAUGGGGAGAAAUCUAAUUUCUUAUGGACAGUUGGAAAAGAGUGGUUGCAAAUACGAGGGAAAGGAUUUUGUAGUCACUUUCUACAAAGAUGGACAGAAGGUAAUUUCUGGAAAAUACCAAGACGGAUUGUACUAUCUACAAGGGAGAGUGGUGCAAGGAGAGUCGAUGGUAGCAAGGCCAGAAACUGACAUGACCAAGAUAUGGCACUCUAGGCUCGGUCACAUGAGUCUAAAAUGCAUGAAUAUAUUGGUCAAAGAUGGGUAUCUGACAGAUAAAGAAGUGAAGACUUUGGGUUUUUGUGAGAGUUCUGUUUUGGGUAAAUCGCACAAGCUGAGCUUUACCAGGUCGAAGCACGCUACAAAAGGAGUCUUGGAAUACAUUCACUCUGACUUGUGGGGCUCUCCAUCAGUUGAGAAGAGCUUGGGGAAUUGUCAAUAUUUCAUUACCUUCAUUGACGAUUUCUCGAAGAAGGUCUGGAUCUAUUUCCUAAAAACUAAGGAUGAAGCAUUUCUUAAGUUCAAAGAAUGGAAGGCAAUGGUCGAAAAUCAGACAGGAAAGAAAGUACGUUGUUUGAGGACAGAUAACGGACUCAAGUUCUGUAACAACAUGUUUGAUAAUUUCUGCAAGGAUUCUGGUAUUAAAAGGCACAGGACGUGUACUUACACUCCACAGCAAAAUGGAGUAUCAGAACGCAUGAACAGGACCAUUAUGGACAAGGUGAGAUGCAUGCUAGCUGAGAGUGGGCUAGAAGAGAAGUUCUGGGCAGAGGCUGCCUCCACAGCCGUUUACUUGAUUAAUAGAUCACCAAACUCGUAUAUUAACUUCAAGUUGCCAGAAGAAGUAUGGUCUGGAGAAAGACCAAAGAUUAGUCAUCUAAGAAGGUUUGGAUGCUCAGCAUAUGUACAUGUCUCGCAAGGGAAAACAAGUCCUCGAGCAAUCAAAGGAUUAUUUUUGGGAUAUCCGCAAUGGACUAAAGGUUACCGGAUAUGGAUUGAAGAAGAGGAUAAAUGUGUUAUCAGCAGAGACAUCAUUUUUCAUGAAGAAGAACUGUACAAAGAUACCUUGAAGCAAAAGGAUGAAGGUGACUCGAGAAAAAUCGAUGAAACUACUCAGAAAAAGAGUAAAGGAAAAAGAGUUACCUUCAGCGAGAAUCUCAUUCAAGGACCUUCAGGUACUUUUGAAGUAGGUGAGACUUCAGAUCAAGGUGGAGCAUCAUCUGGGACAGAUUAGUCAGGAGAAAGUUCAGAUGAUCAAGGCGUGACGUCUGAGGAAGAGACUGAUAUUGAUGUUAGUCAGAAUGAGGAACCUAAUCUUGGAAACUUGGAUGAUUAUGUUUUGUCUAGGGACAGGGGACGCAGACAGACGAAGCCUCCAUCCAAAUUUGAUGACUUUGAUGUGGCUGCGUAUGCAUUGACAUGUGCAGAAGAAAUCGAUAUGGAUGAGCCAAAGUCUUAUUUUGAAGCAAACAAAAGUAAAGACUGUGAAAAGUGGAACUCAGGAAUGACAGAGGAGAUGGGUUCUCAUCAGCAAAAUGGAACAUGGGAAUUAGUAGACAAGCCAGCGAACAAAAAGGUUAUCGGCUGCAAGUGGGUUUACAAACUAAAACCGGAUAUUUCUAGAAAUUUCAGAUACAAAGCCAGGUUGGUAGCCAAGGGGUUUUCUCAAGUAGAAGGAAUAGACUUCACAGAAGUGUUCGCUCCAGUGGUGAAACAUGUUUCAAUUAGAACCAUGCUUUCUCUAGUUGCAAACUAUGAUCUUGAGCUUGAGCAGUUGGACGUAAAAACAAUCUUUUUGCACGGAACUCUCGAUGAAGAGAUCUACAUGUCACAACCUGAGGGCUUUGUUGAAAAAGGAAAAGAGGACAAGGUAUGUUUGCUGAAGAAGUCACUGUAUGGCCUAAAACAGGUACCUAGACAAUGGAACAGGAAGUUCAACAGCUUCAUGAAAGACAACAAAUUCAUCAGAAGUUUGAGUGAUCCAUGUGUCUACAUUAAAGGAGAGGGUACAUCAGACAUGGUAUAUAUGUUGUUGUAUGUAUACGAUAUGCUUGUUGCUUCAAAAGACAAGCUUGGAAUCCAGAGGUUGAAAGAAAGUUUAGCUGCUGAGUUUGAGAUGAAAGACUUAGGGGCUGCGAAUAGAAUUCUGGGAAUGGAUAUCGUGAGAGACAGGAAUAAAGGAAUUUUGAAGCUGUCACAAGGAAGAUAUCUAGAACAAGUUCUCAGGACAUUCAACAUGAGUGAAUCAAAAGCUGUUACCACACCACUAGGCUGUCAAUUCAAACUCAAGGCUCUCACAGAAGAAGAAUCAAAAGGAGAAUCAGAAUUGAUGAGUGAAGUUCCUUAUGCGAGCGCAGUGGGGAGCUUAAUGUAUGCGAUGGUUGGAUCUCGACCAGACUUAGCGCAUGCGGUGGGAGUAGUCAGCAGGUUCAUGGGAAACCCAGGAAGGAAACAUUGGGAAGCUGUGAAAUGGAUAUUCAGAUAUGUUAAAGGAACAUUGGACUUUGGGUUAACCUUCACAAAGAACACUGAGUUCAAGGUAGUGGGUUAUACAGAUGCUGAUUAUGCUAAAGACUUGGAUCACAGAAGAUCAGUCACAGUGUAUGUAUUUCAGGUUGGAGGAAAUACAGUUAGCUGGAGAUCAGGGCUCCAACACAUUGUAGCAUUAUCGACUACAGAAUCUGAAUAUAUGGCACUAACAGAGGGCUUUAAGGAAGCUUUAUGGUUAAAGCGAUUUGUCAGUGAAUUGGGUUUUCUACAGGAUGAAGCUAAGGUUUUCUCAGAUUCACAAAGUGCUAUUCACUUGGCGAAAAAUGGUGGAUUUCACGAGAGGACCAAGCAUAUUGACACUAAGCUGUAUUUCAUCAGAGAUGUUAUUGAGGCUGGGGAUGUUACUCUACACAAGAUUCAUACAUCAGCUAACCCGGCAGACUUACUAACUAAGGCGGUACCUGGAAACAAGCUCGAGAAGGGGCUUGAAUUCCUGAAGGUGAUCGCCUGAUGAAAGCUUGUGGAAACCUGUAGGGAUUCUUUGUUGAUUUGGAAUCUCGCAGGAUAAAGGAAAUGCAGAAGUGAGCAUUCUGUAUUUAAAAUCAACACAGGAAAUGCAAGAAAAGAGAAUAGUCAGGCGGACUAACUCGUUUUUGUGUGGUUUUGGAUGCACUUUAAAGUGGGUAUUCUCUAUCUCUCCCAUUAAUCUGGAAUUCUAUGUGGAACAUGGGAGAUUAUGAGUUGCAGGAGAUAAAGUAACUGAAGGGAAUUGAGACUUGUCAGAGCUUAGGAAAUUGCACCUUGAAGCUCUGUUGGAUUUUAGAUUUCUUAUUCUGAGAAGGUCAUCGUAGCUCGCGUUCAGUUAGUGACGUUCGUGUAUUGUCGCAGGAGGAACUGAAUUGAAGUUCAAACAAGCUGUUGUUGGUCGGCUUCAAGUAUCGAGAGCUGCAUAAAUGAAAAUCAGAAAUUUAUCAUAUAUCCGAUCUCAAAAGAUGUUAUCCGAAAUAGGAAGUGGCAUCUGGUUAUCUGUGCGUGCAUCAGUUGAAAGGAUAAGUAUUUGUAACAGGCGGUUGCAUCUACUUACCCUUCCAUGCAUCAGAGGAAAACAAGAAGAUUCUUACCUUACAUGUGGCUGACGGAAAGGUAAUGAUCUUGGUUGAUUGGCUUCACUAUCAAAUCUUCAGGUUUUGUGGUUCAGAUGGUGAUAAUGAACAGAGGAAUCACCUGGAAAGUCAUGAGCUUAAAUCUGAGAAAGAUUGCUAUGACAUAUCACUGACACAAGGUAAAGAAGAAAGGAUCUCACCGGCGUUACAUGCAAGGAUGGCUACACAAUUUUUGAGAGACAUCAGAUAUGCAACAGAGACAAGAGGAAGCUCAGGAGCUGAACGUCGCGGUGGAGUGAGAUCAAGGAAUCUGAGAAACCGAGGAACAAAAGCAAACGUCGGUUGGUGAUUAGGUCAAAGGUGGAGAAUGUGAAUGUUGACUCUAAUCACGUACAAGCAAGAUGGGCCUUAAUCAAUGGAACUGCAAGAAAAAUGGAGACUGGGUUUAUUCACAUAUGAAACCCAUCACGUUUUAACAGUAAACGUGAAGCACACAAGGGUUGUGAUAGAGAUGCUUAGUAUAAAUAGAACCUUAUCCUAAGCAUUAAGAACCCUAGCAGUAAUCUCCUGUAUCAAAAAGUGUAAAGAAGAAAUACUAAAAGCUUGUACUUUUCUCAGAUUAUAGUGAAGCUUGAGGGACAAGAGUUCCCUCCCCAGAGGUAACGGUUAGAGGCCAUGAACUGGGUCAAAAGUUUUUGUGUCUUUUACAGUUUAUGCUUACUCUAAAUUGGUUUUAGCAAACGAUCAAACCCUCACAUUAUUAAUAGCUAUAUUUAUUGGGUUGCCUACAUAUCCUAAAUGAGAUCAAGUCUUACCAUAGUUUAGUUUACAAAGUGUAGGUUUUCCCAUCGUAUGAAGAGAUUUUUAGUUUGAUGUUUGGGAUGAGAGCGUGACGAUGCGAUCUGUAAACGACACUUCUGUGUUUCUUCGAUGAACUUAUCGACUUCAGAGGCCGAGCUGGUGGGUUAGUGGAUUCUCGAUUGCAACACCCUGAGGUUUGGAUGUAGCCCGGGCUAUCGUCCAUUUAAGGAUGCCAAUCUCAUUUUCUGGGCUGAUGUUUCAUCGUAUGCAAUGGAUUCAUGGUUGUUGCUGCAGGAUAUGUUAUUCUCCGUGGAGUUUGUUCGUACUCCUAGAACAAUCUUGUGGGCUUCAAGGCAACGAGCCAAUUAAGGAGUUGAUUUGCACCUACUGGUCGGUUUGGAUCUGGGUGAGUUGCUUCAAACGUUGUAGAGCUUGUUGUCCUUUUACAUCCUACUUACUUGUAUGACAUUGAAUCAAAUAUUUUGUAAAUCAGUUGAUACAUGGGAUAGAGUUUCGUCCAGAUGUAUGGUUUGUGCCGCUCGCUGGUGGUGGAAGGAUGGUGGGAGUUCCAUCAGCGUUGAACUGCAGUACAUCCUGCGGAAUGGAACCUGAGAGGUUUCAUGCUCUUGCUGAACCAGAUGCGUCUACUCCUGUCAUUGGGAUGUGUCUACUCUUUUCAUU
Molecule: long non-coding RNA, 37813 nt
Filed under: Brassica rapa (field mustard)
Lineage: Eukaryota; Viridiplantae; Streptophyta; Magnoliopsida; Brassicales; Brassicaceae
Description: long non-coding RNA (BRAP_LNC000967)
Source: RNAcentral